This 23-nucleotide microRNA is filed under the name Eisenia fetida (common brandling worm). RNAcentral describes it as "Efe-Let-7-P10_3p* (star (passenger))". Lineage: Eukaryota; Metazoa; Annelida; Clitellata; Crassiclitellata; Lumbricidae. The record is from RNAcentral.
CUAUACAACCUUCUAGCUUUGAC